Molecule: long non-coding RNA, 636 nt
Organism: Oreochromis aureus
Lineage: Eukaryota; Metazoa; Chordata; Actinopteri; Cichliformes; Cichlidae
Source: Ensembl
AUAAGAUCAGACAAUGGAACACAUUUUGUAAAUGAUGUGAUUAGCAAGGUCUCCGAAGCAUUAGGAUUUAGUAUAAAAAAUCACUGUGCCUACCAUCCACAAAGUGCAGGGCUAGUGGAAAGAACAAAUGGCACUAUCAAACAAAGAUUAAGGAAAUGCAUGGAAGAGACGGGGAGACCGUGGCCUGAAUGUAUAGGUCUAGUAAAAAUGUGGAUGAGAUUAACACAAGGUUCCCAAAAAUUGACGCCGUUUGAAAUAAUUCAUGGAAGACCUUUCCCCCUACCGAUAACGAGUGAACCAGUAAGCAAAUCAGCUAGAGAGACCACUCUAGCAGAGUGGAUGGCAAAGCUACUAGAAAAUAAAGAAAUUGUGCUGAAUAACAAAUUGCCGCAUGACUCUUCUCCAGUAUCUUGCAGGUUGAAGCCAGGUGACUGGAUCCUAAUCAGGGUACUCCAGAGGAAAAAUUGGAGCUCACCCCGUUGGGAGGGACCAUACCAAGUGCUUUUAACCACGCCGACUGCCUGCAAGAUUGCAGAAAGACCAUCCUGGAUUCACCAAAGCCACUGUAAGAAAAACUGGACGGGUAUGUGUGCUCCAAUCUUCAUAUCUGAUCACACGUUUAAGAUAACUACCGAC